Molecule: ribosomal RNA, 253 nt
Filed under: uncultured bacterium
Lineage: Bacteria
Description: partial 16S ribosomal RNA
Rfam family: Bacterial small subunit ribosomal RNA
Source: RNAcentral
UACGUAGGGUGCGAGCGUUGUCCGGAUUUAUUGGGCGUAAAGAGCUUGUAGGCGGCUCGUCACGUCGGGUGUGAAAACUCGCGGCUCAACCGCGAGCCUGCACCCGAUACGGGCGGGCUGGAGUUCGGCAGGGGAGACUGGAAUUCCUGGUGUAGCGGUGGAAUGCGCAGAUAUCAGGAGGAACACCGGUGGCGAAGGCGGGUCUCUGGGCCGAUACUGACGCUGAGAAGCGAAAGCGUGGGGAGCGAGCCGG